Aegilops tauschii subsp. strangulata is the source of this 848-nucleotide long non-coding RNA. RefSeq lists it as uncharacterized. The record is from RefSeq and is a predicted model, not a curated record. NCBI's taxonomy places the organism in Eukaryota, Viridiplantae, Streptophyta, Magnoliopsida, Poales, Poaceae.
CAUACUAUAGAAGCGCUCCUGGACUGAGAAGCAUCUUGGUCCCAAAGGGCGAGUCAAUUGAUUACAGAGGUGUUCUUCAUCAUGAUGGCUCUGUUUUGAUGCCAGUUUCCUUGGAUCAAUUGGAGGUUGCGAUACAAGUCACGGACCAGAAGACCAUAAGCAGGCAUUCGAUGCUUCUCGCUUUGCCUAAUCCAGCAGUAGGGCGUCACUGACAGGGUGGCGCACAACUCUGCUUUCAUGGACUAUCCACGAGUCGGGGACGACUAAUUGAGCGUGCGGCUGGUUGAAGCAAACGACAAUCUGGCAGCAGCAGCUUGUGGUGAGUUUUCUUGAGUUUCCUAACCCCUAUCUGCAAUUCUGUUCCAAAUUGAGAAUAAAUAUUGAUUGACUAAUUGAAUUCCAGAAUGAUGUAUCAUAGUAUGCAUUCUUCUUAUUUGAACAAAGGUGGAAUUUUUUAGGCUUUCUAAGCUGGAUCAGCAGCACCUGUUAGAUGCUUGCAAAUGGACACAUUAAGAAUUCAGGAGCCCAAAGAUUAGGUAGCCGCUCAAACUUAUCAAUAUGAAGCAUACCUUUACAAAAAAAUAUUGUAUGAAUUCUAAGAUGCCUUCUUCGAUUCUAACUUGUAUUCAAUGUUUCACUUGUUAUAUAUUCCUUUGGUGAAGUUGUCCAGCCAGUAUAGUAGAAUAAAUCAGCCAUAAAUCUCAUUUCCUAUAAACUUUUGCUGCCGAGUGAUCAGUUUUUGCAUGUCUAUUACUUGCAUAUUUUGAAAAAACUGUCGUACAACUCCUCCUGAAGGAAUACCAUAUCUUUAUGAACCUUUUUUCUUACCAGUAAUGCUUGCAUGCUUG